AUGACAGGGCUGAGACCUCUCCACAGCACAUCUGAUAUUGGGAUCGAUGAAGAUCAGAUGUGCAAAUCACAAUGGGCUCCGGAAAGCCCUAGACUGUGUCAUUCAAGGAAGCUGUGACUCAGCCUGAAGGAUUUCUGUGGUCAAUGGAACGUGCCCAGCUCAUGUGUAGAGCAGGAGGAAGUGCUCCUGCUCCAGAAUUCCCCAGAAACAAAGCAACCUUCAAGCAAUGACAUCUGAAAGUUGAAGGACAGAUACUUCAGCUCUGUCAGUAUGUUGUAUGGGACAACUCAGUCCCUACAUAGUCUAAGGGGUCCAGCAUGAUUAAUCUCCUACAGCAAUAAAUAACCUGCUAAUAGAUGCACUCUGAUUGGCAUCCUUCCUUUCUCUCCCUCGCAUUCCCACAUCCCUAAAGGUACUUUCUGGUAGAUACUUUCUAGCAUCUUCCCACGCACUCUCUCCACCCAAAUUCUUGUUUAUAGGUCUGCUUGUUGGGGACAGAACAGAAACAACAUCACCUCCCACUUUCUUACUUGCUGCCUUAAAAAUAAUGAUUUCCCUUCCUUAAUUAUUAUCUUCCCAACAAGAUUAUAAGCUCCCCUGGUGCAGAGCAUACUGCUGGUCUGUGAGCUAUUUGUUGGUCUGUGAGCCAUUUGUCACUGCAAUGAGAUAAGUACAUAAAUCAAGAGUAAGUGUUUAGAAAUUCUUAUAGCAAUUUUCCAUCGCCAGAACAUCCAACCAUGUGAUCAGUGGGCUUACCCAGUGAACAGGCAGGGACCAGUUAGAUGAGUCCCGUGAUACAUGUUGUCUGCUAGUCACGUGCAGGAUAACCAUGUAGCAGACAUGAAGAGGUGCGAAACUUUAUAAAAGGGUCCUUCCCCACAGAUAACUUCAAAAUCAC
RNAcentral lists this long non-coding RNA (898 nucleotides) under Macaca mulatta (Rhesus monkey). RNAcentral's name for it is "lncRNA (ENSMMUG00000060861.1)". Lineage: Eukaryota; Metazoa; Chordata; Mammalia; Primates; Cercopithecidae. The record is from RNAcentral.